RNAcentral lists this non-coding RNA (27 nucleotides) under Rattus norvegicus (Norway rat). Lineage: Eukaryota; Metazoa; Chordata; Mammalia; Rodentia; Muridae. The record is from RNAcentral.
UGAGCCCCAAAGUACGCAAGGGCUACA